GACGAACGCUGGCGGCGUGCUUAACACAUGCAAGUCGAACGGAAAGGCCCCUUUGGGGGUCCUCGAGUGGCGCACGGGUGAGUAACACGUGAGUAACCUGCCCUUGACUUCGGGAUAACUUCAGUAAACUGGGGCUAAUACCGGAUAGGAAUCCUUGCUGCAUGGUGGGGGUUGGAAAGCUUCGGCGGUUUUGGAUGGACUCGCGGCUUAUCAGCUUGUUGGUGGGGUAGUGGCUUACCAAGGCUUUGACGGGUAGCCGGCCUGAGAGGGCGACCGGCCACAUUGGGACUGAGAUACGGCCCAGACGCCGACGGGAGGAAGAAGGGGGGAAGAUUGCACAAGGGGCGGAAGCCGGAUGCAGAAACGCCGCGUGCGGGAUGACGGCCUUCGGGUUGGAAACCGCUUUCAGCAGGGGCGAAGCUUGUGGUGACGGUACCUGCAGAAGAAGCACCGGCUAACUACGUG
RNAcentral lists this ribosomal RNA (465 nucleotides) under uncultured bacterium. Its description in RNAcentral is "partial 16S ribosomal RNA". It matches the Rfam family "Bacterial small subunit ribosomal RNA", at positions 28 to 507 of the family's 1533-position model. The record is from RNAcentral.